Long non-coding RNA from Loxodonta africana (African savanna elephant), 9105 nucleotides. RefSeq lists it as uncharacterized. Lineage: Eukaryota; Metazoa; Chordata; Mammalia; Proboscidea; Elephantidae. The transcript has 3 exons. The record is from RefSeq and is a predicted model, not a curated record.
CACUUGGCUGCUUGGCUGCUAACCGAAAGGUUAGUGGUUCAAACCUACCACCUGCUCUAUGGGAUGAAGAGGUGGCAGUCUGCUUCCACAAAGCUUGCAGCCUUGGGAACCCUGUGGGGCGUUCUACUCUGUCCUAUAGGGUCACUGUUUGUUUGAAUCAACUUGAAAGCAAUGGGUUUGGGUUUUUGUUUUUUUAAAGGACCAUUCAGCUGCUAACCACAAGUUGGCGAUUCGAAUACAUCCAGUGGAGAAAAGACCUGGUAAUCUGCUCCUGUAAAGAUUACAGCCUAGGAAACAAUACGGUGCAGUUCUACUCUGUCACAUGGGGUCACUGGGAGUUGAAAUCAGUUUAAUGACACCCAACGACAACUACAAUUAGAGGACUAUUAUGAUAAGGGUUGAAAAAUAUUCCUUGGGUUUGAUAAUAAUGCAGUUAUGAGUGACCUUUGACAGGACAGCCUCAGGAAGUGGCAGGGGCAGACACUGGAUUGCAGUGGGUUGAGGAGUAAAUGGGGAGUGAGGAAGCACAGACAAUCUGGGCUGACAUUCAAGACAGUUGGGCAAUUCAGAAAAAACAAAAGGGGUGGUAGCUAGAGGGAGUCACAAAGAAUCAAGUUUUUUUUUUUUUUUUUUAAAGAGUACUAGAAGAGACUUGAGCAUGUUUAUGGGCUGAGAGGGGAAAUCCAGGGGAGAGGCUGAAGACAGAGGGAGAUGAUUUAUGAAGCAGGAUCCUGGAGCAGGUGGGAUGGAAUCUGAGCAGAAGCACAAGCGGGGAGGGGUAACGGAGUCGUUGAGGAGCUGGGACGUUCAUAUCUAAACAGGAAGAGGAGGUGAGGAUGAAUGUGGAUAAAGAUGCCUUUCCAGAUGACAUAUAUGAAGUCCAUGUUUCCAAGAAAAUGCCUUUGGAAAGUUAUGGGGAUGCAAUUUGAACCCAGGCCCCUGAGUGAGGCUCAUUCUCUCCGUCCGCAUUUUGGACAGAUGGGUUGCGGCUCUUCAACUCCAUCAACAUCAAUGUUCUGGCAUUGGCGAAAAACAAGGCUCCAGGAAUUGAUGCAAUAUCAGUUGAGAUGUUUCAACAAACAGAUGCGGCAGGCACUGGAGGUGCUCACUCGUCUAUGCCAAGAAAUAUGGAAGACAGCUUCCUGGCCAACUGACUGGAAGAGAUCCGUAUUUACGCCUUUUCCCAAGAAAGGUGAUCCAACCGAAUGUGGAAAUUAUAGAACAAUAUCAGUAAUAUCACAUGGAAGCAAAAUUUUGCUGAAGAUCAUUCAAAAACAGCUGCAGCAGUAUAUCAACAGGGAACUUCCAGAAAUUCAGGCCGGUUUCAGAAGAGGAUGUGGAACUAGGGAUAUUGUUGCUGAUGUCAGAUGGAUCCUGGCUGAAAGCAGAGAAUACCAGAAGGAUGUUUACCUGUGUUUUAUCGACUAUGCAAAGGCAUUCGACUGUGUGGAUCAUAACAAACUAUGGAUAACGCUGCGAAGAAUGGGAAUUCCAGAACACUUAAUUGUGCUCGUGAGGAACCUUUACAUAGAUCAAGAGGCAGUUGUUCGGAAAGAACAAGGGGAUACUGAUUGGUUUAAAGUCAGGAAAGGUGUGCUUCAGGGUUGUAUUCUUUCACCAUACCUAUUUAAUCUGUAUGCUGAACAAAUAAUACGAGAAGCUGGACUAUAUGAAGAACAGGGCAUCAGGAUUGGAGGAAGAUUCAUUAAAAACCUGCGUUAUGCAGAUGACACAACCUUGCUUGCUGAAGAGGACUUGAAGCACUUGCUAAUGAAGAUCAAAGACCACAGCCUUCAGUAUGGAUUACACCUCAACAUAAAGAAAACAAAAAUCCUCACACCUGGACCAAUGAGCAACAUCAUGAUAAAUGGAGAAAAGAUGGAAGUUGUCAAGGAUUUCAUUUUACUUGGAUCCACAAUCAACAGCCAUGGAAACAGCAGUCAAGAAAUUGAAAGAUGCAUUGCCUUGGGUAAAUCUGCUACAAAGGACCUCUUCAAAGUGUUGAAGAGCAAAGAUGUCACCCUGAAGACUAAGGUGCGCCUGACCCAAGCCAUGGUAUUUUCAAUCACAUCAUAUGCACGUGAAAGCUGGAGAAUGAAUAAGGAAGACCGAAGAAGAGUUGACGCCUUUGAACUGUGGUGUUGGCGAAGAAUAUCAAAUAUACCGUGGACUGCCAAAAGAACGAACAAGUCUGUCUUGGAAGAAGUGCGGCCAGAAUGCUCCUUAGAGGCAAGGAUGGCGAGACUGUGGUUUACAUACCUUGGACAUGUUGUCAGGAGCAAUCAGUCCUUGGAGAAGGACAUCAUGCUUGGCAGAGUACAGGGCCAGUGGGAAAGAGGAAGACUCUCAAUGAGAUGGAUUGACACAGUGGCUGCAACAAUGGGCUCAAGCAUAAGAACGAUUGUAAGGAUGGCGCAGGACCGGGCAGUGUUUCGUUCUGUUGUGUAUGGGGUCGCUAUGAGUCGGAACCGACUGGACGGCACCUAACAACAACAACAACAUACCUAAAUAAGAGUAUAAGUAGUGUGAAAAAAAUAAGUAAAAAUUCCUAAUGAUGCAAUUUCAGGCACUAGUACUCACAGGUUUUGGCAGUCAAUUUUUAUGGGGAUCCAGGAUCCCUAGGUUCUGUAACUGGCUCCGACACCACCUGUGUGGUUUUGCACAAGUCUGUUUUUCUCUGAGUCUCAUUUUCUCUUAAAUGAGGAGGCUUAACUACAGUACUGAUCGUUAAGCAUUUUUAUUAACUUUCAAGAAGCUGACUACUCUUUCCAAAUGCAUUUUUUGUGUGUGGAAGACCAAUACACUAAGUGAAUCAAAGUGUGUCAACAGCCCAACCGGUUGUGCCCCAUAUCCAUUUGAGCACUAAUGUUUUCUGACUCAAGUUGCAGGCGGUGAAUCCAAAUUCACCAGUCAGAGCUGACCUGCCUCUCAGCUGAGUGGAAAAUAACUAGGUGAUUUUAAGUGACCCACAAAGGCUUACGUGUGACAGUUGCUCUUGCGAAGCAUUUCCCUGAGCAUUAAGCCCGGAUGCUGGCAGCUAUCUCAUGGCUCAGGGACUGUUUGGGAUCCAAGGAGACCAUGGCUGUCUCUAGAAAGUUCUGUGAGGACCCUGGCUCUUUAGAAGAACCAUCCAUGGGUGGUUUUCAGGGGAGUCAGGUCUGGUUUGGUGGUCUACUGUGCCCAGGCCUCCCAGGCCCAGCCCGAGAACUAAAGCUUUCCAGCCUUGGGGCUGCAGCAGGAAGGCAAGGUCACGUGGAGAAGGAAUGAGGGCAAGAGAAGAGGUCAGGCCAACAAACACCAUGUAGUGAAAUAUGAGUAAGACUCCUCAGUGUCCUCCCCUGCUCUGAAAAGUGCCAUGUGAAUUUCCGUGGAGUUUUCUCCAGCCUCCUUUUCUAUAGCUGGUGUGAUAAGGAUUAUUUUGCCCCUUUUAAGAGGAAAGAUAGAUGCCCCACAAUUCUAUGCUUCAGGAGAUUCCAUGGACAGUAAUGUCCACAUCCUAAGUUAUAAUAAGCAGCACAAGAAUAAAGCGUGGAUCCUGUGCCCACAGGAUUCCAUUUGUAUCUGGCCCAGAUUGGCCAGACUUGAACUCAAAGGAGGUGGGAGUCCCUAAGGAGGGGAAAAUGGAUGUGCAGGGACAUUUGAGUAGAUUCUUUCCUGCCCCAAGUCUUCUCCAGGGACAGAAGCAAAAGGUUGACAGCCAGCAUUUCUCACUUGCUGGUCUUACCCUACCCAUGUGUGGGAUGGAGAUCUGGGGCCUGGGUGAAUGACCUCUUACAGCCCGACCCCACUCCUACUAAGGCACACCAGCCUCAGCACCAGGAGACCUGGGCUGAAGUUCCAGUUGGGGUACUUGCUCACUGUGAGGCUAGUCACAUGCUGUUAUGGGUUGAAUUGUGUCCACCAAAAAGAAAUGUGGAAGUCCCAGCCCCAUACCUCUAAAUAUGACCCUGUUUGGGAACAGGGGUGUUCUUUUUUUAUGUUAAUGAGGUUAUACCACAUUAGUGUAGGUCAUACCACUUUAGGGUGGGCCAUAAACCUUAUCACUUCUGAGUGGUGUCUUAUAAAAAGGCAGAAUAGACGCAGAGACACACACAGGUGGAAUACAGAUGCCAUAUAAGGACCCAUCUACAAGCAAAGGAAUGCCAAGAAUUGCCAGCAGACCAGAUUCCGCAGAAGGAAUCAACACAGUCAAUACCCAGAUUUGGACUUUUAGCCUCCAGAAAUGUCAGCAAAUAAAUUUCUGAUCUUUAAAGCCACCCACUUGCAGUAUUUUUUAUUACAGUAGCACUAGGUAACUAAUACUCAUACUGACUCUGGUCCUCAGUUUCAUUUUUCAAAAAGGCAUCAGACUAGAUGCUUUUCAAGGUCACUGCCGGGGCUAACUCUCAGUGAUUCUAGACAAGAUUGUAAGGGCCUUGACACCAGUAGGUCCCUGGGUAGUUCAAAUGGUUUGAACUCAGCUACUAACCGAACUAACCGAAAUGUUGGUGGUUCAAACCCACCCAGCAGCACCAUGUAAUAAAGGCCUUGCAAUCUACUUCCAUAAAGAUUAUAGCCAAGAAAACCCUAUGGAGCUCAAUUAUGCUCUGACACAAAAGGAGUCACUGUUAUGGAUUGAAUUGUGUCCCCCCAAAAUGUGUGCAAACUUGGCUAGGCCAUGAUUCCCAGUAUUGUGUAAUUAUCCAUUAUUUUGUCAUGUAAUGUGUUGUAAAUCCUACCCCUGUGAUGUUAAUGAGGCAGGAUUAAAGGCAGUUAUGUAAAUGAGGCAAGACUCAAUCUACAAGAUUAGGUUUUGUCUUCAAUCUCUUUUGAGAUAUAAAAGAGAGAAACAAGCAGAGAGACAGAGGAACCUCACACUACCAAGAAAGCAGCGCCGGGAGCAGAGCGUGUCCUUUGGACCCGAGGUUCCUGUGUUAAGAAGCUCCUAGAUCAGGGAAAUAUUGAUGAAAAGGACCUUCCACCAGAGCUGACAGAGAGAGAAGAAAGCCUUCCACUGGAGCAGCCACUGUGAAUUUUGUAUUCGAACUUCUAGCCUCCCAGACUGUGAGAGAAUAAAUUUCUCUUUGUUAAAGCCAUCCACUUGUAGUAUUUCUGUUAUAGCAGCACUAGAACUAAGAUAGUCACCAUGAGCUGGAACAGACUUGAUGGCAAUGGGUUUGUUUAUUUUUUAACACUGUUUGCCACCAAGUCGAUUCCAACUCAGGGCAGCCCCGUGUGUAUCAUUUUAGAACUGUGCUCCACAGGGUUUUCAACGGUUAUGAAAACGGCUUUUGGAAGUAGAUCGCCAGGCCUUUCUUCCACCAGACCUUUGAGGCUUUGGCGUUCCCCACUUGCAGCUCUCCUUCCACCUUCUCUCUGAGACAGCCUCAGUUGGCCUACACGCUGAUGUCCUUGACAUUCUAAUUAGUUGGUGCCCAACUAUACUUGUCAGGAGUCUAUACUUAAGGAAGGUUCUGGUCAUGCCAGCUGCUCUCCUCAUUGAAAUGGAGCAGCUGGCACGAUAAGAGGGCAGGUAAAAAAGGUACCUCAUCCUCUGCAAGCCAAAGCGUAACUGCGACAAGGAUAAUGUAACAAUGACUGAGUUAAGUAUUUUACACAUGUAAUACAUAUUUUUUUACUUAUGACCUAUAGGCAUUAUCAUUUCAUUUUACAGAUGAAAAAAACUGAGGCUCAAAGAAAUUAGUUUCUUGCCAAAAGCCACUGACCUCAAGGCUCACACGCCUAACCAACACAGUGUCUGACAUUGCAAAUAUUAUUUUGCUAUGUUGUCUCCUUUCCCAUCCAACCUUAGGGUUAAAAUAGCACCUUUUCUCCCUCCCUACUUUCCGUUCUGGUUGGUUUGGGGCCCUGCCUAAAGCUGGUGAGUUAUAGGGGAGGCAGGGCAGUAGCCAUAGGCAGUAUGACCUCGGAAGCUGGGCAAGGCCUGGAAGAGGAAGCCCUUCCCUGGGGGCCCUCCCUGUGGGGUUUUCCCCAAGCUAUGAGACUUUCGAAAGCUCCUCACUCUUGUGCAGGGAUUGAAAUGAGCUCAAGGUUUGUUCUGGAGGCUGCUGUCGAAGGUCCUGCAGAAAACACCAUUGUUUCCAUUGUUCCAGAAAGCAGGCUGGGUCAGCCUUUCCCAAGGGCAGAGUCCUUGGGCAGAGAGACAGGGCAGAGGACAGGAAGUGGUGGCAGCAGGGCUAGGGGCUCUCCAGCUGCUUCUUGGGCUCCCCCAUAGGCCACUGUCCCUCUCUCCCUGAAUGGCUGUAGCUCGAUCUUGCAGUUUUCUGAUUAUAAAAGUAACUGGUGAUUUUUUUUUAACUAAAAUAAUACAAGACAGAAGUGUGUAAAGUAAAAAGGAACAGUUCUUCUCACAAUCCCAGGCAUUUGUAGGCCCCUGGCACAGAGCCGACUUCAACUCACAGCUACUCCAUGUGUGUCUGAGUAGAACUGUGCUCCAGAGGGUUUUCAAUGGCUGAUUUUUUUAGAAACAGAUAGCCAGGCCUUUCUUCUGAGGUGAUUCUGGGUGGACUUGAACUGCCAACAUUUUGGCUAGCAGUUGAGUGUGUUAACCUUUUGCACCACCCAGGGACUCCUUUUGGUGUAUUAAAAAAAAGUAUAGCAUUCUCUAAUUCCUCUGUUCAUGUACAAACAUCAUUGUUGUUAGGUGCCGUCCAUUUAGUUCCGACUUACAGUGACCCUAUGACAACAGAACAAAACACUGCCUGGUCCUGCGCCAUCCUCACAAUCGCUGUUCUGCUUGAGCCCAUUGUUGUAGCCACUGCGUUAAUCCGCCUCGUUGAGGGUGUUCCUUUUUUUUUUUGCUGACCCUCUCCUUUAUCAUGCGUGAUGUCCCUCUCCAGGGACUAGUCCCUCCUGAAAUAUGUCCAAAGUACAUGGGGUGAAGUCUCACCAUCCUCCCUUCUAAGGAACAUUCUGGAUGUACUUCUUCCAAGACAGGUUUGCUUGUUCUUUUGGUGGUUCACGGUAUAUUCAAUAUUCUUCAUCAACACCACCAUUUAAAGGCAUCAAUUCUUCUUCAGUCAUCCUUACUUGUUGUCCAGCUUUCGCAUGCAUAUGAGGUGAUUGAAAACACCAUAGCUUGGGUCAGGAGCACCUUAGUCCUCAAGGUGACAUCUUUGCUUUUGGACACUUCAAAGAAGUGUUUUGCAGCAGAUUUGCCCAAUGUAAUGUCUCCUUUGAUUUCUCGAUGGCUGCUUCCAUGGGUACUGACUGUAGAUCCAAGUAAAAUGAAAUCCUUGACAAUUCUAAUCUUUUCUCUGUUUAUCAUGAUGUGUCUUAUUGGUCCAGUUGUGAGGAUUUUUGUUUUGUUUGUUGUAUAAUCCAUACUGAAGGCCGUAGUCUUUGAUUUUCAUCAGUAAGUGCUUGGAAUCCUCUUCACUUUCUGCAAGCAAGAUUAUAUCAUCUACAUAUCACAGACUGUUAAUGAAUCUUCCUCCAAUCUUGAUGCUGCCUUCUUUUUCUUGUAGUCCAGCUUCUGGAACUGUUUGCUCAGCGUACAUAUUGAAUAAGUACGGUGAAAGGAUGCACCUUUCACCUUUCCGGAUUUGAAUGUAUGCAGUAUCCCCUUGCUCUGUUCAGAUGAUCGCUCCUUGGUCUCUGUACAGGUUCCUCAUGAGCACAAUUGAGUGUUCUGGAAUUCCCAUUCUUCACAAUGUUAUCCAUAAUUUGUUAUGAUCCACACAGUUAAAUACCUUUGCAUAGUCAAUAAAACACAGGUAAACAUCUUUCUGGUAUCCUCUGCUUUCAGCCAAGACCCAUAUGACAUCAGCAAUGAAAUUCCUGGUUCCAAGUCCUCUUCUGAAUCUGGCUUGAACUUCUGGCAGUUCCCUGUCAAUGUACUGGUGCAACCAUUUUUUAAUUAUCUUCAGCAAAAUUUUAAUUGGGUGUGAUAUUAAUGAUACCAUUCAAUAAUUUCUGCACUCUUUUGGUUCACCUGUCUUUGGCCAGGUAGCUAGCUGUCUGUCAAAUUUCUUGGCAUAGAAGAGUGAGCACCUCCAGUGCUGCAUCUGUUUGUUGAAACAUCUCUAUUGGUAUUCUGUCAAUUCCUGGAGACUUGUUUUUCUUCAAUGUCUUCAGUGAAGCUCGGACUUCUUUAAUACCAUCAGUUCUUGAUCAUAUGCUACCUCCUUUUGGCAUAUAGGAAACCCUAAUUCUUCUAUACACAUACAAACAUUAUAAACAUAUACAUUAAAUAAAAGGGAUCAUAAUAAGCACAUCAUUCUUUAUCUGCUUUUGCCACUGAAUGAUAUGAGAGUAUGUUUCCCGUCUAUAUAAAGGGAUCUCUCUCAUUCUUUUAAUGGCCGCACAGGGUUUGAUUGUUUCAUUGCAUGGAUGAAGCAUAAUUUAUGUAACUAGGCUGCUAUAAAUAGACUUGUAUUUUGUUUCCUAUUUUUCAUUCUUACAAUGCCAUAAAGAAAAUUCUUAGACAUAAAUUUUUGUCCUUUUGUUGAAUUAUUCCAUUAGGAGAACUUCUUAAAACUGGAAUUUCUGAAUCAAAGGCUAAGCAUAUCUAAUAGUUAAAAAUUGGAUGUGUAUCUCCAGAUUGACCUGCCCAAAUGUUAGAUAUUAUAACAUCUCCAUAAAUGUUGGCUAUCAUAAUGUUCCCACCAAUAAUAUUUGAGGCUGCCUGUUCCCCGACCUCUGCCAACUAAGCUUUACAUAUUAAACAGAAGGAAAAAUUGUGUCUUGUUUUAAAUCACAUUUUUUUUUUUUUUAAAAUCAUGAGUGAGAUUGACUAUAUUUUUGGUCAUUUUCUUUGGUUGCCGUGUAUGUUGUUCCUGUACUGGAGUGUCCUCAUGGGAUCCCAAGAAAAUGAUUUCCUUCACUUGUAUCUGGACUUUAUUUAACAAGGUGAACUCUUUGUAUUCUAGGUUUUCAAUUAUCUGGGGGAAAAGCAACCAGUAACUAUGAGACUUGGAGGCUGGUUAUAAUCAUCCUUUCAUGGCUCCAUCAAUUCUUUGAGCAAUCCAUUAAUUUACUCUUUCAUUCACUUGGAAAUUAUUCCCUUAGUAAUCCACUAAUCUGUUUUACUCAUUAGUCGUUUUUCAAGUAGUGACUGAGCAUCUGCUGCCUGUGAAACGCCAGGUCUCCUGGGGACUCAGAGAG